RNAcentral lists this ribosomal RNA (253 nucleotides) under uncultured bacterium. RNAcentral describes it as "partial 16S ribosomal RNA". It matches the Rfam family "Bacterial small subunit ribosomal RNA", at positions 524 to 776 of the family's 1533-position model. The record is from RNAcentral.
UACAGAGGUCUCAAGCGUUGUUCGGAUUCAUUGGGCGUAAAGGGUGCGUAGGCGGCGCGGUAAGUCGGGUGUGAAAUCUCGGAGCUUAACUCCGAAACUGCAUUCGAUACUGCCGUGCUUGAGGACUGGAGAGGAUAGGGGAAUUCCCGGUGUAGAGGUGAAAUUCGUAGAGAUCGGGAGGAACACCAGUGGCGAAGGCGCCUAUCUGGCUGACAACUGACGCUGAGACUCGAAAGCAUGGGGAGCAAACAGG